GCCCGGGUGGCGGAAUGGUUUACGCAGAGGACUUAAAAUCCUUGCCUCUAACGAGGUUGUGGGUUCAAAUCCCACCCCGGGCA
RNAcentral lists this transfer RNA (83 nucleotides) under bacterium. RNAcentral's name for it is "tRNA-Leu". It matches the Rfam family "tRNA". Rfam says of the family: Transfer RNA (tRNA) molecules are approximately 80 nucleotides in length. The record is from RNAcentral.